Molecule: ribosomal RNA, 1016 nt
Filed under: uncultured bacterium
Lineage: Bacteria
Description: bacterial SSU rRNA
Rfam family: Bacterial small subunit ribosomal RNA
Source: RNAcentral
AGGAAUAUUGGUCAAUGGACGAGAGUCUGAACCAGCCAAGUAGCGUGAAGGAUGACUGCCCUAUGGGUUGUAAACUUCUUUUAUACGGGAAUAAAGUGAGGUACGUGUGCCUUUUUGUAUGUACCGUAUGAAUAAGGAUCGGCUAACUCCGUGCCAGCAGCCGCGGUAAUACGGAGGAUCCGAGCGUUAUCCGGAUUUAUUGGGUUUAAAGGGAGCGUAGGCGGACGCUUAAGUCAGUUGUGAAAGUUUGCGGCUCAACCGUAAAAUUGCAGUUGAUACUGGGUGUCUUGAGUACAGUAGAGGCAGGCGGAAUUCGUGGUGUAGCGGUGAAAUGCUUAGAUAUCACGAAGAACUCCGAUUGCGAAGGCAGCCUGCUGGACUGUAACUGACGCUGAUGCUCGAAAGUGUGGGUAUCAAACAGGAUUAGAUACCCUGGUAGUCCACACAGUAAACGAUGAAUACUCGCUGUUUGCGAUAUACAGUAAGCGGCCAAGCGAAAGCGUUAAGUAUUCCACCUGGGGAGUACGCCGGCAACGGUGAAACUCAAAGGAAUUGACGGGGGCCCGCACAAGCGGAGGAACAUGUGGUUUAAUUCGAUGAUACGCGAGGAACCUUACCCGGGCUUGAAUUGCAACUGAAUGAUGUGGAGACAUGUCGGCCGCAAGGCAGUUGUGAAGGUGCUGCAUGGUUGUCGUCAGCUCGUGCCGUGAGGUGUCGGCUUAAGUGCCAUAACGAGCGCAACCCUUAUCGAUAGUUACCAUCAGGUUAUGCUGGGGACUCUGUCGAGACUGCCGUCGUAAGAUGUGAGGAAGGUGGGGAUGACGUCAAAUCAGCACGGCCCUUACGUCCGGGGCUACACACGUGUUACAAUGGGGGGUACAGAAGGCAGCUACACGGCGACGUGAUGCUAAUCCCGAAAGCCUCUCUCAGUUCGGAUGGGAGUCUGCAACCCGACUCCAUGAAGCUGGAUUCGCUAGUAAUCGCGCAUCAGCCACAGCGCGGUGAAUACGUUCCCG